CGUGCCAGCAGCCGCGGUAAUACAUAGGUCACAAGCGUUAUCCGGAAUUAUUGGGCGUAAAGCGUUCGUAGGCGGUUUGUUAAGUCUGGAGUUAAAGACUGGGGCUCAACCCCAGCCCGCUCUGGAUACUGGCUGACUAGAGUUACAUAGAGGUAAGUGGAAUUCUUAGUGGAGCGGUGGAAUGCGUAGAUAUUAGGAAGAACACCAAUGGCGAAGGCAGCUUACUGGAUGUACACUGACGCUCAGGGACGAAAGCGUGGGGAGCAAACAGGAUUAGAUACCCUGGUAGUCCACGCCGUAAACGAUGAUCAUUAGCCGCUAGAAUAUUUAGUGGCGCAGCUAACGCAUUAAAUGAUCCGCCUGAGUAGUAUGCUCGCAAGAGUGAAACUUAAAGGAAUUGACGGGGACCCGCACAAGCGGUGGAGCAUGUGGUUUAAUUUGAAGAUACGCGUAGAACCUUACCCACUCUUGACAUCUUCCGCAAUACUAUGGAGACAUAGUGGAGGUUAACGGAAUGACAGAUGGUGCAUGGUUGUCGUCAGCUCGUGCCGUGAGGUGUUAGGUUAAGUCCUGCAACGAGCGCAACCCCUGUCUUUAGUUACUAACGGAUAAUGCCGAGGACUCUAGAGAGACUGACUGGGUAACCAGUAGGAAGGUGGGACGACGUCAAAUCAUCAUGCCUCUUACGAGUGGGGCAACACACGUGCUACAAUGGACGGUACAAAGAGAAGCAAUAUGGUGACAUGGAGCAAACCUCAAAAAACCGUUCUCAGUUCGGAUUGAAGUCUGAAACUCGACUUCAUGAAGUUGGAAUCGCUAGUAAUCGUAGAUCAGCUACGCUACGGUGAAUACGUUCUCGGGUCUUGUACACACCGC
This 876-nucleotide ribosomal RNA is filed under the name uncultured Mycoplasma sp. RNAcentral describes it as "bacterial SSU rRNA". It matches the Rfam family "Bacterial small subunit ribosomal RNA", at positions 504 to 1393 of the family's 1533-position model. Lineage: Bacteria; Bacillati; Mycoplasmatota; Mollicutes; Mycoplasmatales; Mycoplasmataceae. The record is from RNAcentral.